Molecule: unclassified non-coding RNA, 292 nt
Filed under: Hevea brasiliensis (rubber tree)
Lineage: Eukaryota; Viridiplantae; Streptophyta; Magnoliopsida; Malpighiales; Euphorbiaceae
Source: RNAcentral
AUUUGUCAUCAAUAAACGAAAUCUCAAUCCGAGUGGACGAGGUUAACCAUAGACUGAGUUGCCUGAGUUUCGUUGACUCGGUUGAGUUGGUAUGCGUGUUGAAAAGAUUGGAGGAUUGCAAAGAGAGGCUAUUAGCUUUAUCAAGUCGAAAGAAAGCAUUGGUUGAGAGCCUUUGGAGUUUGAUCAGUGAAAUGAAGGGAAAGGUUGGGGAUGGAAAAGCGUAUAAAGAGGAGGGGAGGUUGCUGCUUACCAUGGGAAGGAAAGAUGCUGGAAGUGAGUCAGCUCGGUUUGG